Molecule: ribosomal RNA, 521 nt
Filed under: uncultured bacterium
Lineage: Bacteria
Description: bacterial SSU rRNA
Rfam family: Bacterial small subunit ribosomal RNA
Source: RNAcentral
AGAGUUUGAUCCUGGCUCAGAUUGAACGCUGGCGGCAUGCCUUACACAUGCAAGUCGAACGGUAACGCGGGGCAACCUGGCGACGAGUGGCGAACGGGUGAGUAAUAUAUCGGAACGUGCCCAGUAGUGGGGGAUAGCCCGGCGAAAGCCGGAUUAAUACCGCAUGAGACCUGAGGGUGAAAGCGGGGGACUCGCAAGAGCCUCGCGCUAUUGGAGCGGCCGAUAUCAGAUUAGCUAGUUGGUGGGGUAAAGGCCUACCAAGGCGACGAUCUGUAGCUGGUCUGAGAGGACGACCAGCCACACUGGGACUGAGACACGGCCCAGACUCCUACGGGAGGCAGCAGUGGGGAAUUUUGGACAAUGGGCGAAAGCCUGAUCCAGCCAUGCCGCGUGCGGGAAGAAGGCCUUCGGGUUGUAAACCGCUUUUGUCAGGGAAGAAAUCCUUUGGGUUAAUACCUCGGAGGGAUGACGGUACCUGAAGAAUAAGCACCGGCUAACUACGUGCCAGCAGCCGCGGUAAU